UGUUUAUUGUAACAAAAACUGCAACAUUUCAGCCUGCACAGAGGCCUUUAUCUUGCUUGAUAAAAUAAUAAUAAUAAUAAUAAUAAUAAUAAAAGCCUCUGUGCAGGACGACAUGUUGCAGUUUUUGUCACAAUAAACC
Molecule: non-coding RNA, 139 nt
Organism: Pelobates cultripes (western spadefoot toad)
Lineage: Eukaryota; Metazoa; Chordata; Amphibia; Anura; Pelobatidae
Source: the annotation of a GenBank genome assembly